CAUCAUCCUCAUGUUUAUAUUAUGUUGAAAGUCAUCUGUGGCCUAUAGUGCAUAGAUGGACUUGGUAUGAUUAUGACCAGAGAUUAUUCGGUAUAAUCAUGACCGUAAUGUUACAAAUGAUGUGGUAAAAGUCCUCAUUGGCCCGUAGUCCAUUGACGGACAGUUGUUGGCAUGAUCAUGACCAUUGAUGAAUACACAAAUAUCAUUGCCCCGUAGUGCAUGGAUAAUGUGGCGACCCCAAAUCCGGAUACUUGAAACCCGAACUUGGUUCUCCACGAUACCAUUUCUUUAAGCUGAAUAAUACUAAAUAAUAAUAAUAAUAUAAUUCAAACUUAAUUUACAUACAUCAAAGUUUACUUUCCCAGGUACGUGACCUUCAAAUACAUUCCUUACAAUACCUGACAAUAGAUUCCAUUGUCUUACUAACUAUAACCAUUAACUCAUACUAAAUCUCAUUCGAAUAGCUUUUCUUUUCCCUUGUUCGUGCCUGAGCCUUCAGGUCGAUCGUACGUAACUGAAAACAUUUAGUUUAAGCAAGGAUGAGCAUUUGAGUGCCCAGCAAGUAAUAACAAUUAUAUAUAUAAGCUGAAAGAAUAUAAGUAUUCUCUUUNNNN
This 614-nucleotide long non-coding RNA is filed under the name Panax ginseng (ginseng). Its description in RNAcentral is "long non-coding RNA (PGIN_LNC003105)". The record is from RNAcentral. Lineage: Eukaryota; Viridiplantae; Streptophyta; Magnoliopsida; Apiales; Araliaceae.